UGAGGAAUAUUGGGCAAUGCCCGCCAGGGUGACCCAGCAACGCCGCGUGGAGGAUGAAUGUCGUAAGAUUGUAAACUCCUGUUAGAGGGGAAGAAUAGUACCGGUUGGACCGGUAUAUGACUGUACCCUCAGAGAAAGCCCCGGCUAACUACGUGCCAGCAGCCGCGGUAAUACGUAGGGGGCAAGCGUUGUCCGGAUUUACUGGGUGUAAAGGGCGCGCAGGCGGGAUAAAAAGUCAGUGGUGAAAUCCUACAGCUCAACUGUAGAACUGCCUUUGAUACGUUUAUUCUUGAGUUCGGGAGAGAGAGACGGAAUUCCAGGUGUAGGGGUGAAAUACGUAGAUAUCUGGAAGAACACCAGUUGCGAAGGCGGUCUCUUGGUCCGACACUGACGCUGAGGCGCGAAAGCGUGGGGAGCAAACA
This 422-nucleotide ribosomal RNA is filed under the name uncultured bacterium. RNAcentral's name for it is "bacterial SSU rRNA". It matches the Rfam family "Bacterial small subunit ribosomal RNA", at positions 355 to 774 of the family's 1533-position model. The record is from RNAcentral.